GAUGAACGCUAGCUACAGGCUUAACACAUGCAAGUCGCGGGGCAGCAUGGGGGUUGCUUGCAAUCCCCGAUGGCGACCGGCGCACGGGUGAGUAACGCGUAUCCAACCUGCCCUUCACCACGGGAUAACCCGGCGAAAGUCGGACUAAUACCGUAUGUUGUCCAUUGACGGCAUCCGAUUUGGACGAAAGGCUUGGCGGUGAGGGAUGGGGAUGCGUCCGAUUAGCCAGACGGCGGGGUAACGGCCCACCGUGGCUACGAUCGGUAGGGGUUCUGAGAGGAAGGUCCCCCACACUGGAACUGAGACACGGUCCAGACUCCUACGGGAGGCAGCAGUGAGGAAUAUUGGUCAAUGGGCGUAAGCCUGAACCAGCCAAGUAGCGUGCAGGAUGACGGCCCUAUGGGUUGUAAACUGCUUUUAUGCGGGGAUAAAGUGGCCCACGGGUGGGCUUUUGCAGGUACCGCAUGAAUAAGAACCGGCUAAUUCCGUG
RNAcentral lists this ribosomal RNA (490 nucleotides) under uncultured bacterium. RNAcentral's name for it is "partial 16S ribosomal RNA". It matches the Rfam family "Bacterial small subunit ribosomal RNA", at positions 28 to 507 of the family's 1533-position model. The record is from RNAcentral.